UAAUUCCAGGGCUUAAUCUUAUACUUGUAAUAUUUUUAUUAUCAAUAAAGAGCUUUCUCAUUCCAAUCAUGUUUAUGUGCCCAUGAUUUAUCCUAAAAAUUAAUAAAAAUAAUUUUUAUAUAUUCUCAAAAUAUUGAGAAUUAAAGAUAAAUAUUAAUUAGUGGUUAAUUUUGAAAUACUCUUGUCAAAGGAUCGUCAUGAAAGACAGUGAUCAAUCCAUUCG
RNAcentral lists this long non-coding RNA (223 nucleotides) under Elaeis guineensis (African oil palm). Its description in RNAcentral is "long non-coding RNA (EGUI_LNC076634)". The record is from RNAcentral. Lineage: Eukaryota; Viridiplantae; Streptophyta; Magnoliopsida; Arecales; Arecaceae.